GAUUGCAAAACACCCUCUCUGUAAUCGCGGCUG
This 33-nucleotide non-coding RNA is filed under the name Indolivaga capnocytophagoides DSM 22835. Its description in RNAcentral is "Dysgonomonas capnocytophagoides DSM 22835 S4-Bacteroidia ribosomal protein leader". It matches the Rfam family "S4-Bacteroidia ribosomal protein leader". Lineage: Bacteria; Pseudomonadati; Bacteroidota; Bacteroidia; Bacteroidales; Dysgonomonadaceae. The record is from RNAcentral.